AAGCUCGUAGUUGAAUUUCGGGAUCAAUGUUUCGGUCAUGCCGUUGGUAUGUACUGAUAUUAUUGAUUUCUCACCUUCUAAAGAACCGUAAUGCCAUUAAUUUGGUGUCACGGGGAAUUAGGACUGUUACCUUGAAAAAAUUGAGUGUUUAAAGCAGGCUCACGCUUGAAUACAUUAGCAUGGAAUAAUGAAAUAGGACAUCCGAUUCUAUUUUGUUGGUUUCUAGGAUCGAUGUAAUGAUUAAUAGGGAUAGUUGGG
This 258-nucleotide ribosomal RNA is filed under the name uncultured Glomus. Its description in RNAcentral is "partial 18S ribosomal RNA". It matches the Rfam family "Eukaryotic small subunit ribosomal RNA", at positions 624 to 886 of the family's 1831-position model. Lineage: Eukaryota; Fungi; Glomeromycota; Glomeromycetes; Glomerales; Glomeraceae. The record is from RNAcentral.